AGGAAUGAAAACUGGAGACUUUAGUGUUUUAUUGGGAGGGAUGAGAAGGUUUUCAGUUGAGCUGAGCAGGUGUGGAGGUUUCAGCAGGUGGGACUGCAGCAGGAUCCAGCCGCUGGGAUCAGACCAGCCCGGCGGGCGGCGCUUUCUGCUACCUGGCUGGGAUCCUGGAUCCUUCCCCCCCACACACCGACUUUCAGAAGUGCUCCGGACUUCCUGGUACGGGACCAUGGAUCCUCACCGCCAACACUCCAGGAAUGAGAAGGGAUUUUACCCGCAGGCGAUGUGAAGCAAGCGGAGCCUUCGAGUUGGAAGCAAGGUCAUGAGUUCCUCUCAGAAGGACCCAGUGGAGAUCAGCCUCACCUGCCCCACCCAGGCCUCGUCCUGCCCCCCGCCCCCGCGCUCCCACCAUGACUUCUGAUCAGGAUGCGGCGCUGAAACUGGAUCAGGAACGGGCCGAAAUCGUCGCCAAAUAUGACA
This is a long non-coding RNA of Xiphophorus maculatus (southern platyfish), 477 nucleotides long. RefSeq lists it as uncharacterized. Lineage: Eukaryota; Metazoa; Chordata; Actinopteri; Cyprinodontiformes; Poeciliidae. The record is from RefSeq and is a predicted model, not a curated record. The transcript is spliced from 3 exons.